Molecule: small nucleolar RNA, 107 nt
Organism: Abrus precatorius (Indian licorice)
Lineage: Eukaryota; Viridiplantae; Streptophyta; Magnoliopsida; Fabales; Fabaceae
Source: RefSeq, a predicted model, not a curated record
AUACAAUGAUGUGGAUAUCUUCUGAACAACUCUUUAUAUCUUUCCCAAGCUUCAUAAAGUAAUUCUCCUUCCUGUGGCACAAAGGAUGUGAUUUCCCCUCUUAGUUU